GUGGAGUCAUACUCGCCCAGCCUUGUUGAGAAGAAAAAUGUGGGGGAGCUUAUAAUGAACGUUGCUUCUACUAGCUCUGUUGCCGCUGCUGCUCCUGCUACUGGUAAAGAUGCCGCAGCAACAUCUGUUGCGGGUUAGAAAAAGGUACGAUUUGAUUUUGAUUUUGUAUAAUAUUGUGUUGAAACUCCAUUCGUUUCCCGUUGUUGUUUGUUAAAUUUAUGAUUUAUGUUUUUUAUGAAUUUUAAUUUCAGGAAGAGUGUGAUGAUGAGCCCAUGUUUAGCUUGUUUGAUUAGAGUUGCCUAAUGAAUUUCAGUUUUGAAUGAAUGUUUGAUGCAUAUUGUUCUAACUUAUUUCUAGUAUUUUUUUGUAUUUUCUAUUUAAAAGUAACAAAGUUGGAUAAAUACUCUAAAAAUGUCAAUGGUAAUCAUAUUGUCAAACACAUUCCUACUUCUAGUAUUAGUAUUACCAUCCGUAUAAAUUUAUUCUUCUUACUUCAAUUUACAAUCAACAACAUGAUUUGAAUCUAUCAUUUACUUCAAUUUGGUCCAAUGCUUUCUUCUUGAAUUUUUCUGCUGAGUUUCCUUUCUGAUCUAUAUGUUCUUGUAGAUUUCUUAGAUGCUCAGUCAUUUCCACAAAAGGGGAUUCUAGGUUACCAGCAUCUGGUUGGACCAUUUUGUCAUUUUUCUCCUGAAAUAAAGUAGAGCCAUCACCANNNN
RNAcentral lists this long non-coding RNA (716 nucleotides) under Solanum tuberosum (potato). RNAcentral's name for it is "long non-coding RNA (STUB_LNC000781)". Lineage: Eukaryota; Viridiplantae; Streptophyta; Magnoliopsida; Solanales; Solanaceae. The record is from RNAcentral.